GCUCCAGUGGCCUGAUUGACAAGGCAUUGGCUUCCUAAGUCAGGGACUGUGGGUUCAAGUCUCAUCUGGGGUG
This 73-nucleotide transfer RNA is filed under the name Pelodiscus sinensis (Chinese soft-shelled turtle). It matches the Rfam family "tRNA". From Rfam's summary of the family: Transfer RNA (tRNA) molecules are approximately 80 nucleotides in length. The record is from Rfam by way of RNAcentral. Lineage: Eukaryota; Metazoa; Chordata; Testudines; Trionychidae.